RNAcentral lists this long non-coding RNA (349 nucleotides) under Helianthus annuus (common sunflower). RNAcentral's name for it is "hypothetical non coding rna". Lineage: Eukaryota; Viridiplantae; Streptophyta; Magnoliopsida; Asterales; Asteraceae. The record is from RNAcentral.
AUGUCCCUUGGCCCCUAUAACUAGGGGUGUAAACAAGCCCGGAGGCUCGAGAGCUACUCGUGAUCGGCUCGGUUAAAAGCUCGAACGAGUCGAGCCUUAACGAGCCCGAGUCCGAGAUCGAGCCUGAAAUAGAGCUCGAUUAGUUAUCGAGCCCGAGCUCGAGCCUGAAAUACAAAGCUCGUUUAGGCUCGCGAGCCCAAACGAGCAUAAACAAAAUUUUAGUUUUUUAUAUAUAUAAUAUAAUAAUGAUGAUGAUAACAUUGGUGAGCCGAGCUCGAGCCGAGCUUUGGCUCGCUUAAUCGCUGUUGAAACGAGCUCGAGCCGAGCUUUUAGCUCAUUUGAGGUUGUU